CACCACUCAAGCCUCGCUUGGUAUUGGGCGAUGCGGUCCGCCGCACGCCUCAAAUCGACCGGCUGGGUCGAUCGCACCCUCAGCGUUGUGGAAACUAUUCGCUAAAGGGAUCGUGGUCGGUCACGCCGUGAAACAAACCAAUUUUCAAU
Molecule: unclassified non-coding RNA, 149 nt
Filed under: uncultured Toxicocladosporium
Lineage: Eukaryota; Fungi; Ascomycota; Dothideomycetes; Capnodiales
Description: sequence contains ITS2
Source: RNAcentral